CAGGAUGUAGCUAAAACAACAUAGCAGUUCCCUUACACUGAUCAGUUAUCCGUGCAAAUCGGAUCACCCUGA
This 72-nucleotide transfer RNA is filed under the name Nibea albiflora (white flower croaker). RNAcentral's name for it is "tRNA-Val". It matches the Rfam family "tRNA". Rfam says of the family: Transfer RNA (tRNA) molecules are approximately 80 nucleotides in length. Their secondary structure includes four short double-helical elements and three loops (D, anti-codon, and T loops). The record is from RNAcentral. Lineage: Eukaryota; Metazoa; Chordata; Actinopteri; Sciaenidae.